CUUUCUCCGCCGGCGACCGGCGCACGGGUGAGUAACACGUAUGCAACCUGCCCCUGUCAAGGGGACAACCCGCCGAAAGGCGGGCUAAACCCGCGUACAUGCCACCGGGGCAUCCCGGAGGCAGGAAAAGGCUUCGGCCGGACAGGGAUGGGCAUGCGGCGCAUUAGGCAGUAGGCGGGGUAACGGCCCACCUAACCGACGAUGCGUAGGGGUUCUGAGAGGAAGGUCCCCCACACUGGUACUGAGACACGGACCAGACUCCUACGGAAGGCAGCAG
RNAcentral lists this ribosomal RNA (277 nucleotides) under uncultured bacterium. RNAcentral describes it as "partial 16S ribosomal RNA". It matches the Rfam family "Bacterial small subunit ribosomal RNA", at positions 79 to 354 of the family's 1533-position model. The record is from RNAcentral.